GUCGCUUCUCUGCCUUUUGGCUAAGAUCAAGUGUAGUAUUUGUUCUUAUCAGGAGGGGUGCUAAAGCCUCUUCUGGUUAGACGGAGAAACACUUGAUCCUCUGGCUAGGGGCCAAAGCAUCAUGGAAGCCCAA
RNAcentral lists this small nuclear RNA (133 nucleotides) under Xenopus laevis (African clawed frog). RNAcentral's name for it is "U2 spliceosomal RNA". It matches the Rfam family "U2 spliceosomal RNA". Rfam says of the family: U2 is a small nuclear RNA (snRNA) component of the spliceosome (involved in pre-mRNA splicing). The record is from Rfam by way of RNAcentral. Lineage: Eukaryota; Metazoa; Chordata; Amphibia; Anura; Pipidae.